AAAACGAUGAACGCGUCGACAGCAGCUGUACCGACUUGGCGCUGGCCCAUAUGUUGAAGUUUUGGCGUGGCUGGAUCACCUCCUUAAGCCGAAUUCUGCAGAUAUCCAUCACACUGGCGGCCGCUCGAGCAUGCAUCUAGAGGGCCCAAUUCGCCCUAUAGUGAGUCGUAUUACAAUUCACUGGCCGUCGUUUUACAACGUCGUGACUGGGAAAACCCUGGCG
This 223-nucleotide ribosomal RNA is filed under the name uncultured bacterium. RNAcentral describes it as "partial 16S ribosomal RNA". The record is from RNAcentral.